RNAcentral lists this ribosomal RNA (196 nucleotides) under uncultured bacterium. Its description in RNAcentral is "partial 16S ribosomal RNA". It matches the Rfam family "Bacterial small subunit ribosomal RNA", at positions 328 to 539 of the family's 1533-position model. The record is from RNAcentral.
ACGCUCGACACCUACGGGAGCAGCAGUGAGGGAUAUUGGUCAAUGGGGGAAACCCUGAACCAGCAACGCCGCGUGAGGGAUGACGGUCUUCGGAUUGUAAACCUCUGUCCUCUGUGAAGAUAAUGACGGUAGCAGAGGAGGAAGCUCCGGCUAACUACGUGCCACAGCCGCGGUAAUCUGAGCGGGCUGGCAAGGC